This 104-nucleotide small RNA is filed under the name Sinorhizobium meliloti 2011. RNAcentral's name for it is "putative ncRNA". Lineage: Bacteria; Pseudomonadati; Pseudomonadota; Alphaproteobacteria; Hyphomicrobiales; Rhizobiaceae. The record is from RNAcentral.
UUCGCUUCCGGUUCGCGCGGUAAAUUGGACUGCGUUGUGUUCUGGAGCAUGGGUACGGAUUCUGGUUCCACUCGGGACUGAUCGGCCCGGUUGUCGUUGUUCUG